This 253-nucleotide ribosomal RNA is filed under the name uncultured bacterium. RNAcentral's name for it is "partial 16S ribosomal RNA". It matches the Rfam family "Bacterial small subunit ribosomal RNA", at positions 524 to 776 of the family's 1533-position model. The record is from RNAcentral.
UACGUAGGGUGCAAGCGUUAAUCGGAAUUACUGGGCGUAAAGCGUGCGCAGGCGGUUCGCUAAGACAGAUGUGAAAUCCCCGGGCUUAACCUGGGAACUGCAUUUGUGACUGGCGGGCUAGAGUAUGGCAGAGGGGGGUGGAAUUCCCGGUGUAGUGGUGAAAUGCGUAGAGAUCGGGAGGAACACCAGUGGCGAAGGCGGCCCCCUGGGCCGCUCCUGACGCUGAGACGCGAAGGCGCGGGGAGCGAACAGG